This is a non-coding RNA of Podarcis lilfordi (Lilford's wall lizard), 94 nucleotides long. The record is from the annotation of a GenBank genome assembly. NCBI's taxonomy places the organism in Eukaryota, Metazoa, Chordata, Lepidosauria, Squamata, Lacertidae.
GAAUUUUUUUAAUUCUGUUUUGAAUACAGAGAAGAUUAGCAUUGCCCCUACACUAUAAAAGAAGCAGUACCUUUGAGAAAUAAUAAUAAUAAUA